UGAUACCUACGGGAGGCAGCAGUGGGGAAUAUUGCACAAUGGGGGAAACCCUUAUGCAGCGACUCCGCGUGAGCGAAGAAGUAUUUCGGUAUGUAAAGCUCUAUCAGCAGGGAAGAAAAAUGACGGUACCUGAGUAAGAAGCACCGGCUAAAUACGUGCCAGCAGCCGCGGUAAUACGUAUGGUGCAAGCGUUAUCCGGAUUUACUGGGUGUAAAGGGAGCGUAGACGGAGGAGCAAGUCUGAUGUGAAAAUCCGGGGCCCAACCCCGGAGCUGCAUUGGAAACUGUUUAUCUAGAGUGUCGGAG
Molecule: ribosomal RNA, 305 nt
Filed under: uncultured bacterium
Lineage: Bacteria
Description: bacterial SSU rRNA
Rfam family: Bacterial small subunit ribosomal RNA
Source: RNAcentral